Molecule: ribosomal RNA, 328 nt
Filed under: uncultured eukaryote
Lineage: Eukaryota
Description: partial 18S ribosomal RNA
Rfam family: Eukaryotic small subunit ribosomal RNA
Source: RNAcentral
CCCUUAGAUGUCCGGGGCUGCACGCGCGCUACACUGAAGGAAUCAGCGUGCUAAAACCAUUGUCGAAAGGCAUUGGUAAACCCAUUAAAAUCCUACGUGAUUGGGAUCGGGAAUUGCAAUUAUUUCCCUUGAACGAGGAAUUCCCAGUAAGUGUGGGUCAUAAGCUCGCGUUGAUUACGUCCCUGCCCUUUGUACACACCGCCCGUCGCUGCCCGGGACUGAGCCGUUUCGAGAAAAGCGGGGACUGCUGCUGUCGGGGCUUUCGGGCCUUGGCUUCGGUGGAAACCGCUUUAAUCGCAGUGGCUUGAACCAGGCAAAANUCGUAACA